This 497-nucleotide ribosomal RNA is filed under the name uncultured bacterium. RNAcentral's name for it is "partial 16S ribosomal RNA". It matches the Rfam family "Bacterial small subunit ribosomal RNA", at positions 28 to 507 of the family's 1533-position model. The record is from RNAcentral.
GAUGAACGCUGGCGGCGUGCCUAAUACAUGCAAGUCGAGCGAACGGACGAGAAGCUUGCUUCUCUGAUGUUAGCGGCGGACGGGUGAGUAACACGUGGAUAACCUACCUAUAAGACUGGGAUAACUUCGGGAAACCGGAGCUAAUACCGGAUAAUAUUUUGAACCUCAUGGUUCAAAAGUGAAAGACGGUCUUGCUGUCACUUAUAGAUGGAUCCGCGCUGCAUUAGCUAGUUGGUAAGGUAACGGCUUACCAAGGCAACGAUGCAUAGCCGACCUGAGAGGGUGAUCGGCCACACUGGAACUGAGACACGGUCCAGACUCCUACGGGAGGCAGCAGUAGGGAAUCUUCCGCAAUGGGCGAAAGCCUGACGGAGCAACGCCGCGUGAGUGAUGAAGGUCUUCGGAUCGUAAAACCCUGUUAUUAGGGAAGAACAUAUGUGUAAGUAACUGUGCACAUCUUGACGGUACCUAAUCAGAAAGCCACGGCUAACUACGUG